AAGUUUGGCAGUAGACAACAUUGACAACUAUAGGCCCAUCACCAAUGUGGAUGACAUGCAGCUCUACAUCUCCUUUACUCCAACUACAGGAGAUGCCGUUCUGUCCCUUCAGCGUUGCCUGGAAACCGUACGGGAAUGGAUGCAGGAGAACGGGCUGAGGCUGAACCCGGACAAGACGGAGGUACUGAGGGUGGGUUCUCCCACAGUUGGGGAUUUGGGAAACUCCCUCACUUUUGGGGGGGUGACCCUGCCUGCCAGGGAUGGGGUUUGCAGCUUGGGGAUUCAUCUGGACCCGGCGCUUACUAUGGAAACCCAGGUGGCGUCCGUGGUCCGUACCGCAUUUUUCCAUCUCAGGCGGAUAGCCCAGCUGCGACCCUACCUUGAUGUGGCAGCUCUCACUACUUUGGUACAUGCGCUUGUAAUCUCAAGAUUAGACCACUGCAAUGCGCUCUACGUGGGGCUACCUUUGAGGCUGCUGCGGAAAUUACAGGUGGUGCAGAAUACUGCGGCCAGAUUACUUAGCGGAGUGAGAAGAUACCAACAUAUCUCGCCUGCUCUGGCCGCAUUGCAUUGGCUGCCCAUCCGAUUCCGCAUCGACUUCAAAGUGUUGAUGCUUACUUACAAAGCCCUAAACGAUUUAGGACCUCAAUUCUUGGUGGAACGCCUUCUCCCACCUAGAUCUACCUGUGUCACUCGUGCGAGCCAGGAGGUUAGGCUGAGGAGCCUGACGCUGAGAGAGGCUCGGAAGGAAAAGACCAGAAAUCGGGCCUUCUCGGCGGUGGCUCCUCGCCUUUGGAAUAACUUACCUCCUGAGAUUCGCAUGGCUCCCUUGCUGGGCAUUUUUAAGAAACAGUUAAAAACACUGAUGUAUAGGCAGGCCUUCCCAACAGAUAACCCCUGACGAUCUUUUUCUUUUUAUAAUGUCUUUGAUCUCUAUCUUUGCUAACCUGUAAUGUUUUUAAAAAUUUUAUUGUUGGGUUGAUUGUAAGCCGCCUAGAGUGGUCUAGUAUGACCAGAUAGGCGGGAUAGAAAUAAAAUAAAUAAAUAAAUAAAUAAAUUCCUUCCU
This 1066-nucleotide long non-coding RNA is filed under the name Pogona vitticeps (central bearded dragon). RNAcentral's name for it is "lncRNA (ENSPVIG00000021804.1)". Lineage: Eukaryota; Metazoa; Chordata; Lepidosauria; Squamata; Agamidae. The record is from RNAcentral.